CNAUGCAGUCGAGCGGUUGACGGGAGCUUGCUCCCUGAUUCAGCGGCGGACGGGUGAGUAAUGCCUAGGAAUCUGCCUAUUAGUGGGGGACAACGUUUCGAAAGGAACGCUAAUACCGCAUACGUCCUACGGGAGAAAGCAGGGGACCUUCGGGCCUUGCGCUAAUAGAUGAGCCUAGGUCGGAUUAGCUAGUUGGUGAGGUAAUGGCUCACCAAGGCGACGAUCCGUAACUGGUCUGAGAGGAUGAUCAGUCACACUGGAACUGAGACACGGUCCAGACUCCUACGGGAGGCAGCAGUGGGGAAUAUUGGACAAUGGGCGAAAGCCUGAUCCAGCCAUGCCGCGUGUGUGAAGAAGGUCUUCGGAUUGUAAAGCACUUUAAGUUGGGAGGAAGGGUUGUAGAUUAAUACUCUGCAAUUUUGACGUUACCGACAGAAUAAGCACCGGCUAACUCUGUGCCAGCAGCCGCGGUAAUACAGAGGGUGCAAGCGUUAAUCGGAAUUACUGGGCGUAAAGCGCGCGUAGGUGGUUUGUUAAGUUGGAUGUGAAAGCCCCGGGCUCAACCUGGGAACUGCAUCCAAAACUGGCAAGCUAGAGUACGGUAGAGGGUGGUGGAAUUUCCUGUGUAGCGGUNNA
RNAcentral lists this ribosomal RNA (636 nucleotides) under Pseudomonas corni. Its description in RNAcentral is "bacterial SSU rRNA". It matches the Rfam family "Bacterial small subunit ribosomal RNA", at positions 54 to 685 of the family's 1533-position model. The record is from RNAcentral. Lineage: Bacteria; Pseudomonadati; Pseudomonadota; Gammaproteobacteria; Pseudomonadales; Pseudomonadaceae.